This 99-nucleotide ribosomal RNA is filed under the name uncultured bacterium. Its description in RNAcentral is "partial 16S ribosomal RNA". It matches the Rfam family "Bacterial small subunit ribosomal RNA", at positions 1386 to 1482 of the family's 1533-position model. The record is from RNAcentral.
CACACCGCCCGUCACACCAUGGGAGUUAGUUGCUCCAGAAGCGGCUGUGCUAACCCGCAAGGGAGGCGGGUCUCCAAGGAGUGACUGGUAACUGGGGUG